Molecule: ribosomal RNA, 386 nt
Filed under: uncultured bacterium
Lineage: Bacteria
Description: bacterial SSU rRNA
Rfam family: Bacterial small subunit ribosomal RNA
Source: RNAcentral
AUUGAACGCUGGCGGCAUGCCUUACACAUGCAAGUCGAACGGCAGCAUGGGUGCUUGCACCUGAUGGCGAGUGGCGAACGGGUGAGUAAUGCAUCGGAACGUACCCGGAAGUGGGGGAUAACGUAGCGAAAGUUACGCUAAUACCGCAUAUUCUGUGAGCAGGAAAGCGGGGGAUCGCAAGACCUCGCGCUAUUGGAGCGGCCGAUAUCAGAUUAGCUAGUUGGUGGGGUAAAGGCCUACCAAGGCAACGAUCUGUAGUUGGUCUGAGAGGACGACCAGCCACACUGGGACUGAGACACGGCCCAGACUCCUACGGGAGGCAGCAGUGGGGAAUUUUGGACAAUGGGCGCAAGCCUGAUCCAGCAAUGCCGCGUGCAGGAAGAAGG